GACAGGAUAGCCAAGUGGUCAAAGGCGCUACGUUCAGGUCGUAGUCUCAUGGAGUUCAAGGGUUCGAAUCCCUUUCCUGUUA
RNAcentral lists this transfer RNA (82 nucleotides) under Hepatospora eriocheir. It matches the Rfam family "tRNA". From Rfam's summary of the family: Transfer RNA (tRNA) molecules are approximately 80 nucleotides in length. Their secondary structure includes four short double-helical elements and three loops (D, anti-codon, and T loops). The record is from Rfam by way of RNAcentral. Lineage: Eukaryota; Fungi; Microsporidia; Hepatosporidae.